GACGAACGCUGGCGGCGUGCUUAACACAUGCAAGUCGAACGGUGAUGCUCCAGCUUGCUGGUGUGGAUCAGUGGCGAACGGGUGAGUAACACGUGAGCAACCUGCCCCAGACUCUGGAAUAAGCGCUGGAAACUGCGUCUAAUACUGGAUACGAAACUGGCCCGCAUGGGCAUGGUUUGGAAAGUUUUUCGGUUUGGGGUGGGCUCGCGGCCUAUCAGCUUGUUGGUGAGGUAAUGGCUCACCAAGGCGACGACGGGUAGCCGGCCUGAGAGGGCGACCGGCCACACUGGGACUGAGACACGGCCCAGACUCCUACGGGAGGCAGCAGUGGGGAAUAUUGCACAAUGGGCGCAAGCCUGAUGCAGCGACGCCGCGUGAGGGAUGACGGCCUUCGGGUUGUAAACCUCUUUCAGCAGGGAAGAAGCGAAAGUGACGGUACCUGCAGAAGAAGCACCGGCUAACUACGUG
RNAcentral lists this ribosomal RNA (468 nucleotides) under uncultured bacterium. RNAcentral describes it as "partial 16S ribosomal RNA". It matches the Rfam family "Bacterial small subunit ribosomal RNA", at positions 28 to 507 of the family's 1533-position model. The record is from RNAcentral.